CGCGCGCCUUCGUCUUUCCCCAGUUGGUUGUGCGCUUUCCUUGCUCUGCGUGUCCGGUUUUUUUCCUUCCUCUCACGCCAGGCGCGUGUGUAAGAGGAGGGAACGGACUGGAUGCGCAGCGGGACGCGUCCUCGGUGAAGACACGAGGAGAAGUCAGCAGUCUGCAAAUCGGAGGAGAGCCUCACCAGAACUCAACCAUAUUAGCACCACCCUGAUCCAAGAAUUCCAGGCUCCAGAACUUCAGAGGAGAAAGCAUCACCCAGCUAUUACCAAAAAACUCUCUCCUUGUGAUAAGGUAAGUUGUCAACCUCAUCUUUAAAAAAUUAUAGCAGGAUAUUGCUGACAGAGUAACAAGGGAUUUUUGGAUCUUCUGCUAAUCUUUCGCCUCAUUAAUUUUUCUUUUUUCUUGGUCCAGAAUUUGAGAAGAAUAGUUGACGAGGUCUUCUUCAAAAGGAAAGGUUAUAUAAUUUCAUUAUUAUUGCAUCAUUCCCAAAGACCUUGGCAGCUAGAAUCCAUCUUAAAAUAAUGGUCAUCAAACUCAGGAAACUCUAUGUCUUGGGGUACACUAGGGCCACGUUAUACAGUUGCACAGCAGAGUCCCUGGGGUAAUGAGACAGGUUAGCUAGCAUGUUGUUAGGUAGACAGGGAAGUCCCUGGUAGAAUAAAACAAAGGCAGCCAUAUCUUGGAAAUCCAGGUUCUGAAAUGACUCAUUUGCUCCAGGGCAAAAAUGUAAUCCUGCCUGGGGGUAAAAGGGUUAUUUCGUAAAUCCCUUUAGGCUGGGCAACAGAGCGAAUCUGAUAGACAAAAUCCAUUAGAAGGCACCAACUCCCUUCCCCAAGCAUGCAUGAGAAAGUAUAAAAGUAAGAGCCUUUUACCUUAGCCAGUGGGCAUCCCAGUUUCAGGUAUCCCCUCUCGUAAUAAAAUAAAAGUCUUUGCUCCUUUACCUCUCCUUCCAAGUCCACGUUCUCAUUCUUGGGUAUGUGAGACCACGAUCUCCAAGCACCAGACACCAGGAUCAUAUCAGUAAAAGGUACCUUUCAAGGCUGUAUGAGGGCGUGGAUAGGUCUGUUCUUUCUGACCACUGCCUUCAUGUUUACCAUAUUCUUAUUUUACAAAAACAAAAAUCUUAUCUCGCAUCCAUCCCAAAUCUCACUACAAUGCAUGCCUCAAGGGCUGUGUUGUCCAUAUGGGUACUGAGCACCUGAAAUGUAGCUGGUCAGAAUUAAGAUUUGCUGUUUGUGUAAAAUACUACAAGAUUUCAAGAACUGAGCACCCCAAAUCAGAAAGAAUAUGAAAUACUUCAUUUUAAAUUUUUUAUAAUGAUUGAAUGUUGCAUUUUACUUCUAUUAGAUGGUACUAUUCUAGAGCAUCAAACAAAGGGACAUAAAUACUGCUUUCAGAGAAGCCUCCAAUGUAAGGCACCAAGAACUUGUGUUCAGGCUUCUAAUCUUUUCUUCUCUUAAGAGUGGGUAGUUUGGUAUUUAAAUUGAGUACUUGGUAAAUGUAUUAAUUCAGAUAUUUGUAGAGUGGGGUUAUAAGAAUGAUGAUAAUUUCACUCAAAGAAAGCACUGCUCCAUUGAUGGAGAGUACCUAGAGAACAAAGCAGAAUAUCCAUGAGAAAUACUAGUGUCAUCUUAUGUCAUCCAGGUGACAAGCUCAUGCCAGGUUGCGUGCCUUACUUAGCACUCAGAAUGAGUAUGAGAUGAGUCUCAAGGUAUGUCCCAGAACCAGGAAAUGAUUGACUCAUGACUGGAUAAUCAAUCCUUUAGUAAUUCAGGUGGAUUCUAGAUUGACUCAUGACUGGAUAAUCAAUCCUUUAGUAAUUCAGGUGGAUUCUAAUUUGCUGCUUUCAACAAAUUUGAAGGAGAACGUUAAGUGGUUUGUUGAUAAGUUAAAAUAACCUUUAAUGAGCAAUUGCUAUGAUACUUCUCACAUGUAAUUCAGAAAUUGAAAGAGUUGAAUGAUUUUUGUUAUAACAAAACUUCAUUUUCAUCUACUUAUGAAAACCUUGUUUCUCUUGCC
Molecule: long non-coding RNA, 2023 nt
Organism: Hipposideros armiger (great roundleaf bat)
Lineage: Eukaryota; Metazoa; Chordata; Mammalia; Chiroptera; Hipposideridae
Exons: 3
Source: RefSeq, a predicted model, not a curated record